This 598-nucleotide long non-coding RNA is filed under the name Setaria viridis. RNAcentral describes it as "long non-coding RNA (SVIR_LNC011450)". Lineage: Eukaryota; Viridiplantae; Streptophyta; Magnoliopsida; Poales; Poaceae. The record is from RNAcentral.
GAUGACAACGCUUGUUCAGAUUUGUUUUUCCAAAGCUCCGAUCGAGUUUCGUUUCAGAUCUUAAUUUCCUCCGAAAUGUUGAUAGAAUUGGUUUGUUGCCAAUAUCAGUAUUUGAAAUGUUGAUAGAAUUGGUUUGUUCCAAAUUCAGGACAUAAUAUAACUACUUUAUUACGUACCAGUAAUGUCUCAUUAUGAAAUUUUAAAAAAUUGAAUAAUCACCAAACUCAAAUUCCGUAAAAUAAUAAUUGCUGAAAAUUCGGGGGUGUACUUCAGAUCUUCAGCAGAACACAGUACUCCAAUUCAACAGCAUUCGUAGCUGAAAAACAACUAUGCCUGCAAGAACACAGUAGGGAAUAAACUCCAAUGGAAGCCCCCAUGUUCUGUGUUACACAAUCAUUGCAAUCCCCUUUGUUUAACCCAGCAAGACAAAUUUCUCUCUCCAAUGACGAGUGACCAAUCUGCCUUUCACACAUUCCCUUCACCACAUGGGCCAUGUCUCCCCAAGCUCUCAAUAAUUCCAAGAGCAUUUCCAGCCUAUGUCCAUGCCUCCUCCCAACCUUUACACUCUCAUACCAAGCUGUUCUUGUGCUAUCCCCAG